CCAAGCCUUCACCCCUUGUUUUCAGAGAAGGCCAAUUGAACGGAUUUCGGGUGUUGCGACACAACUAACUUUUCGAGACUGUAGCAAAGUGAGGAGCAGUGGAAACAGGGUGUUUUAGUCCCUGCGAGAAAAAUGAGAAAACUCCCCAGACGCUGCUAUUCCCAGCUACCCCCACUUAAUAGCAGCAGCAGAAAGCAGCGUCGUCGAAGGAAAGUCCAUGGGGCUUGUCCUCCUUCUGCAAAAUUGUUUAACCAAUCCUUGUAUCAAGCUCCAAAUUCUAGAGGGAUUUCAGGCCCCUCUACCGACAGAUCCUUCCGCGCGUGGUUUUAGGCAAGAAAAAGACAUACAGAAUCAAAGGUAUCUUGAGCCUAAGUUAAGAAUAGCCCUUUCUUAUGCUAGAAUUCGACCCGUGCUACUUGUAAAGAGCAGAUAAAUAGAAGUGAAGGCUUAAUGAGCAAUAGAAGGACACACACGCAAACACAGAUCCAGAACCAAGCCUGAACUCCUGGCGAUUGGGAAUUGGGUGGGCUCUGGCUUUUCCAGGCUUCCAGGCUUAUUUCUUAUCAGACAACUGGCCGCCUUUGGCUUUUUCCUCCCCCGCUUCUUUUUUUUUUUUUUUUUUUUGAGGAGUGCUUGUUUUCAGUUGUGACCCUGGGCUGGUUCGCCAAGUCUCCUGUUGGGAGCAGUUAGUUGUGGCUGCGUUAGCUGGGCAGGACCUCCCAAGCGUCAACGAACGGGGGACCCUGCACAGCGUUAAAAUCUCGUUGCUGGAAGCCGGCGUCGACGGGCUCCGCGGUGGCCGCGGGGGGGGGGGGCAGAGGCGUAAACAAAGUGGAGCCUUCCUCACUGCCCACCAAUCCUCAGUGGAGAGAUUUCCCCUCUCAGCUCGCCUCUGCAAACUCGCGUUUGGGAGAUCGCUUUUCCAGAAAAGUUCGCCAGUUUAGGUUUCUCUGCCCCGUCAUGAACGGCGUGCUGAGGGAUUGCCUGUUUGAACAAAUGCUGGUAAAUUUCCUUUCAAAUCCGCUUUUUGAGAUGGAGAAUUUUCAGGAUGAGGAGACUGCUAACUCAGCAGAUGAAGAAGUACAGAACGAGUCACCUCAAUAAGUUCCUCCCGGGGAUAUUCACGGCUAUUGUGGCAGCCCAAGAACGCACCGAGCAAAGCUGUUUCCUUCAGAAAGAAACGUGCCCGCGAAUGACACGGCCCCACUGCAAACAGCCCAGACAUUCGUCUGAACUCGUUUGGGCUGGUUUCGGAGUAAUCGAGCUCCGGGACACAGGAUAGGACUCUGCUGUCGACCCUGCCGUCCCUUGGCUCUGCCAGCCACGGGGUUUGAGGGCCUGAGACCAGAAGCUACCUUCCCGUAACCUUCAACUUACCAAGGGCGUUGAGCGACUAAUCGGGAGGCAGUUCUAUAUUCAAAUGGCUACAGCACUAAGAGGAGCCUGGAGCCUGGAGAGGUGCUUUGAAAUCCCCUCAACUUCAAGCUCUGCUGGUAUUUAGUCCAAACUCUAGGGGAGGUUUAAAGGGUGUCGGAUUAUUUCAAGGCGGGCUUGGGAUCCACUUUCCGUGCUGUUCAAGCAUCUUUCCGAAAUAAGGAUUCUGCUAAUCGUCCCGUCUUGCUUGCAAGAAAAAGGAUUUUUCUCAACCCUCUUUACCCUCUGGCAAUUUUCAUGGUUUCUUUCGACCAGUUCAGUCGAAGAAACCUACCAGCCGCUUUACAGAUGGUUGUAAAUAAAUUCCACUCUGCAACCAGGCAGAAAAACGGGUGAGUUUCGUAGAGCAGACGAAUUUCUCAAAAUUAUCAAAGGAGAUUAUCCUUUUGUCCUUCCCCAACUUUCUUUUUUGAGUCUUUGAAACGGUUUGACACAGCCCCGGCUGGGGAUUAUGGGAGCUGGAAAUCCCAUAGAUUUCAGAAAUACUCUUCCCAUUAAAGAGAUAGUUGACUUUUACAUAGACUCUCUACUCAUUGGUGGUCUUUGGGGCUUCCCGGCUGCAUGCAACAUUUGGAUAGAUAAGGAAGAGGGUUUGGCAUAUGCAAAGACCGCACCGCAAGCCUUGCGCUUUUUCAAAGUUAUUUCAGCUGUACCGUUCUUGAUUUAUACGAGGUGCUGUGCGUGGAAGAUUUCAUUAACGAUUCAGAAAUCUAUGUGCAGAAUCAAUCCUAUGCAGGCUGACUCAGUAACAGUGCAGUGGGAUUGAAUUCCAAAAGGAGGGGAAGCCCCAUCAGAUCCACGGCACAUACAGCCUGAUUUGGGACCAGUGCACUGUUGCAUCCACUGUGUCUGCUUUGGACUGGAGCUUCACCUAUAGGGAUCAGAAGGAAUUACCUUUGGCAAACUCCACCAAGGAUUCUGUGCUUCAGACUUCUCUCCCUUCUUUCUCUUCCACUCCCCCCUUUAUGAGAUUAUGUUGCUUAGCAAAUUUUAUCAGAAUGAUUUUUAGGUGUGGUCAUUGGGGCCAUUAUUGUAACUGACAAUCACACUGAUUUUAUAUUUAGUAAUCUUAAUUUUAUUUCCACAGCUCUGUUGGCUCCUUAUCCCUAAGCAAUCCAGUAUCAUCUGAGGGUGAUGGGAAAGUAAUAAUUUCUUAAAUCAACUAAAAAAUCUGCACAACAGCUGCAAGAGUUAGAAUUUCCAAAGAAUUUGCCCCAGACUAUUACCUAGUCUUUAGACCAACUUUUUCUAUCUGUCCUUUACUGAAACUGAGAUAAAAUUAAUGACCUCUGCUCACCUAAUAGGCAGUAUACUUUCCCUGUUUCAUAGACAUAUUUUUACCUAGCACCAAUUAUAGAGGCAAAUGAUCAUAACUGGUGAAUAAAUUACUUUCUUUAUGCCCUAGCUGCUGCUGCUUCUUCUUCUUCUUCUUCUUCUUCUUCUUCUUCUUCUUCUUCUUCUUCUUCUUCUUCUUCUUCUUCUUCUUCUUCUUCUUCUUCUUCUUCUUCUUCUUCUUUCUUCUUCUUCUUCUUCUUCUUCUUCUUCUUCUUCCUAUACCUUCCAGAGGUGUUUGAUCUACCAGUCAAAAUAGAUUAUAAAGCAAAGCACUAAUUCAAAUAAAGUAUAUGAAGAAAUGAAUUUAAAAAUACAGAGAUGCAAUAUAUAUAUUGUGAAUCAUUCUCUAAACCAGUGGUUCUCAACCUGUGGGUCGGGAUCCCAUUUGGGGUCGAACGACCAUUUCACGG
Molecule: long non-coding RNA, 3179 nt
Organism: Crotalus tigris (Tiger rattlesnake)
Lineage: Eukaryota; Metazoa; Chordata; Lepidosauria; Squamata; Viperidae
Exons: 3
Source: RefSeq, a predicted model, not a curated record